GUAAUGUCUCGAAUGCAUCAUCGUCGUGCGGGAUACCCAUUUGGGUCAUUGGUCGACUUUGCGCCAGAUCCAAUUGGCCACCCAAUAUUUUCACUGUCACCGUUGGCAAUCCACACACGAAACAUACUGGCAGAUUCUAGAUGUACGCUUGUUGUGCAGAUUCCUGGAUGGAGCGGUUUAUCGAAUGCACGCGCGACAAUCUUUGGUGAUGUUGUCCCACA
RNAcentral lists this unclassified non-coding RNA (221 nucleotides) under Hevea brasiliensis (rubber tree). Lineage: Eukaryota; Viridiplantae; Streptophyta; Magnoliopsida; Malpighiales; Euphorbiaceae. The record is from RNAcentral.